RNAcentral lists this ribosomal RNA (991 nucleotides) under fungal sp. RNAcentral describes it as "eukaryotic LSU rRNA". The stretch from base 472 to 991 matches the Rfam family "Eukaryotic large subunit ribosomal RNA", at positions 1 to 529 of the family's 3401-position model. The record is from RNAcentral. Lineage: Eukaryota; Fungi.
CGGGAUCUCUGCCCCGGGUGCGUCGCAGCCCCGGACCAAGGCGCCCGCCGGAGGACCAACCAAAACUCUUUUGUAUACCCCCUCGCGGGUUUUUUAUAUCUGAGCCAUCUCGGCGCCUCUCGUAGGCGUUUCGAAAAUGAAUCAAAACUUUCAACAACGGAUCUCUUGGUUCUGGCAUCGAUGAAGAACGCAGCGAAAUGCGAUAAGUAAUGUGAAUUGCAGAAUUCAGUGAAUCAUCGAAUCUUUGAACGCACAUUGCGCCCGCCAGUAUUCUGGCGGGCAUGCCUGUCCGAGCGUCAUUUCAACCCUCGAACCCCUCCGGGGGGUCGGCGUUGGGGAUCGGCCCUUUACGGGGCCGGCCCCGAAAUACAGUGGCGGUCUCGCCGCAGCCUCUCCUGCGCAGUAGUUUGCACACUCGCAUCGGGAGCGCGGCGCGUCCAUUGCCGUAAAACACCCAACUUUCUGAAAUGUUGACCUCGGAUCAGGUAGGAAUACCCGCUGAACUUAAGCAUAUCAAUAAGCGGAGGAAAAGAAACCAACAGGGAUUGCCCCAGUAACGGCGAGUGAAGCGGCAACAGCUCAAAUUUGAAAUCUGGCCCCUCGGGGUCCGAGUUGUAAUUUGUAGAGGAUGCUUUUGGUGAGGUGCCGCCCGAGUUCCCUGGAACGGGACGCCACAGAGGGUGAGAGCCCCGUCUGGCUGGCCACCGAGCCUCUGUAAAGCUCCUUCGACGAGUCGAGUAGUUUGGGAAUGCUGCUCAAAAUGGGAGGUAUAUGUCUUCUAAAGCUAAAUAUUGGCCAGAGACCGAUAGCGCACAAGUAGAGUGAUCGAAAGAUGAAAAGCACCUUGAAAAGAGGGUUAAAUAGUACGUGAAAUUGUUGAAAGGGAAGCGCUUGUGACCAGACUUGGGCGCGGCGGAUCAUCCGGGGUUCUCUCCGGUGCACUUCGCCGCGUCUAGGCCAGCAUCAGUUCGUCGCGGGGGAAAAAGGUUUC